AGAAAUGUAAGACUUGAAUUUGGUCCAAUCAAUAAAAAAUUAUACCCUACACUAUAUGCACCAAUGUGGCCAUGCACUAUAUGAAUGAGUAUAUUUUUCUGUAGGCUAAUCACCAUGAUAAGUGCAUCCUGAAUGGGAUCCGUUGGAAGCAGACAAUGAUUGGUGCAUUGCAUGCCACGUGAAGUGCACAAUGUAGGAUAUAAUUUCUCUCAAUCAACACCUAGAUAUGAGGCUAGAUUUCCAAACUCCACUUGUUACUCCGAAUUGUGUUAGGUAUGAAAAUGAAAUUUGUGAGACCAAUAAAAAGCAAGUGCCAUCUGUGUUGCAACUUUCUCCUAAAUUUUUGAAUGUAGACAUGCGCCGC
Molecule: long non-coding RNA, 364 nt
Filed under: Elaeis guineensis (African oil palm)
Lineage: Eukaryota; Viridiplantae; Streptophyta; Magnoliopsida; Arecales; Arecaceae
Description: long non-coding RNA (EGUI_LNC001456)
Source: RNAcentral